RNAcentral lists this long non-coding RNA (613 nucleotides) under Helianthus annuus (common sunflower). RNAcentral describes it as "hypothetical non coding rna". The record is from RNAcentral. Lineage: Eukaryota; Viridiplantae; Streptophyta; Magnoliopsida; Asterales; Asteraceae.
GUCUGAGAGGCUGGGAGGAUAGUCUAGUGGGACUAGGAGAUUCAGUCUGAGAGGCUGGAAGGAUAGUCUAGUGGGACUAGGAGAUUCAGUCUGGGAGGACUGGAAGGGCAGUCUAGUGGGACUAGGAGAUUCAGUCUGAGAGGCUGGAAGGAUAGUCUAGUGGGACUAGGAGAUUCAGUCUGGGAGGACUGGAAGGGCAGUCUAGUGGGACUAGGAGAUUUAGUCUGGGAGGCUGGAAGGAUAGUCUAGUGGGACUAGAAGAUUCAGUCUGAGAGGCUGGAAGGAUAGUCUAGUGGGACUAGAAGAUUCAGUCUGAGAGGCUGGGAGGAUAGUCUAGUGGGACUAGGAGAUUCAGUCUGGGAGGACUGGAAGGGCAGUCUAGUGGGACUAGGAGAUUCAGUCUGGGAGGCUGGAAGGAUAGUCUAGUGGGACUAGAAGAUUCAGUCUGAGAGGCUGGAAGGAUAGUCUAGUGGGACUAGAAGAUUCAGUCUGAGAGGCUGGGAGGAUAGUCUAGUGGGACUAGGAGAUUCAGUCUGAGAGGCUGGAAGGAUAGUCUAGUGGGACUAGAGGAUUCAGUCUGAGAGGCUGGGAGGAUAGACUAGUGGGACUAGGG